GGUCAUUUCUAGCACAGGCAGCCUAGGCACCGGUCAGCAACAUGAACGCUGGGGUCAUUGGGAAUGAGCAGCGCAGGUUCAGCUGGCGGAAUCCUGGGGAAAAGCAAAGAACAAACGAAAGAGUUCAGGCUGGCAGACAACGCUUGCGACUGAGGAGAUGGUGGCGGCGAGGAGCAGCAGCACUGCAGUCAGGUGCUGACAGAGAUGUGUGGGCCUUGGUGUUCCUGCUCCAUCUGCAGCUGCUGUAGCAAAGCUGACCAGGAGCUGCAGCAGCUGGUGCCUGAGCACGUGGGCACUCUGGGCCCUGACUUUUGGAAGACAGCCUGGAGGGACCUGACAGAGCUGGUAGCGCCUGUCCUGCUGCAGCUCCCCCAGUGCCCAGAGCGCUACCAGAAGAAAUGAUGACAACUCCCUGACUGCAAAGAGGAGCCCCAGGAAGGAUGGUGCCCAGCCACACUGCUCAGUCUCUAAGGAGUGAAAGAGUAUAUAAAGAACUCAGCAUUAACGUGGCACAGAAAAGCAUCGAAGUGCAUCUGGGCACCCUGUCCAAACAGCUACAGUGUUUCAAGGAGCAAGCAGGGAGACUGCGGUGCCUCCCUGUCCUAAACUCACCCAGCCAGGGCAGUCCUAGUCAUUGCUGCAGCACAGGAUGAACUCCUGUCUGCAGGCAACCUCCUCAGGAAAGAAAGGCUGAGACAGUGAGGGGAUGUCAACAUCACCAAGACAUCCCAGAAUGUGCUGGUGCCAGGACCAGCACAGCUGCUGAUACUCCAGAAUGUGGAGCUGAACUAGGAGUUCAACAAGUGGGUAUUGCAGGGCCUGGGGCAGAAUACUUCUACCACUGACAAGAGCUGUGUAGGGGUCACUGGAAUGCUCCUCAGGAAGAGAGUAUACAGAGAGAUCCUGAAAGUCUCUGGUGCAACCACGACUGAGAUUCAGGGCUCUAAGGCACACACGAGCCAGUGACUGCCCCUCUGUCCAGCCAUCGGUGAGGGGGAAGACUGAUCUGUGCCUGGAGGUAAAGCUUCAGAGAUUCCUUAGAGCAGUACGGCAGUCCACUGAACAGCUGCAGUGCCCAUGGCCACCUUGGCAUGCCAAUCUCUUCCUCAUCAAUAGGAAACACCGCCUGCAGCCAGCUCUUAUCACACAGCAGCAGCUUGGGGAACCCUCCACCUGCUCAGCUGCAUGUAGGGCAGCAGGAUUCAGCUCAGUGCCCAUCUGCUUCCCCAGCUGUAAGGCCACAUUCCUGCCUGUGAAGCAGUGCUGUGGAAGGAGGGCUCUGCCAGCAUCUAAAUGACUGCUCCAUCAGAAGCAGCUGGCGCUGAGGCAUGCCCCAAAGGAACUAAGGAAACAAGUGAUGGCACCAUAGGAAAAGCAGAUGAAAGAGCACCCAGAGCACCCACUUCAAAGAAAUAAAGUGACUUGUACGGAUGAGUUGGGCUGAAGAGCUCUCAUAUCCUGCAUUGCUCACUGGCAGACGUAUUGGUGAUGGAGGUGUGACUUUCAGCUCUGAGAUUCACACAGAGGGUGGUGAUACACUGGAACAGGUUGCCCAAGGAGGUUGUGGAUGCCCCAUCCCUGGAGGCAUUCAAGGCCAGGCUGGAUGUGGCUCUGGGCAGUCUGGUAUAGUGGCUGGCGACCCUGCACAUAGCAGGGGCUUGGAACUAGAUGAUCAUUGUGGUCCUUUUCAACCCAGGCCAUUCUAUGAUUCUAUGAGGGAAGUGUACUACUCCUUGUACAGGAGGACAAGGUGAUGAGAGUUAGAUGAGGAUUAGUCAAGGAGAACCAGCUAUUCCUCCUGGAACUCCUUUGGCUCACCUUCAGCUGGGCAUGCCACGAGGCAGCCUGGGACUCUCAGCAACUCAUCUGGAGGCAAAGCACCAAGCUCAGUGCCACAUCUUUGACCAAAGGGGGCUUUGGGCUCCCACAGUGUCAGCAAGAGGCCAGCAUCCCCUUCUACAAGCAGUGAUCUGUGUGGUACAUAGUCGCUCCUUUGGCUCACCUUCACCUGUGACCCAGGUGUCAGAUCUGCCUGGCUUCCAGCCUACCUUGUAUAACACACACAUCACCCCUUCACUGUCAUAUUUUCUACAAGCCACACAGGAUGGUUUAGGAGCUGCUGGCUUCACAAAGGCAUAUGCUCACACUAAGAAAGUGGACAAAUCCCAUGCUCCAGCCAGAACAGGCAGGGGGCAGCAAAUGCCUCUUUGCCAAUAAGAAAGGACUGGCUGGGGCUCUGACUCACUUUUUGCCAUUCUAGUAAGCAGAGGAAGGACGUAGGCCAGGGUCACUUGCUCCUCCCAGUCUCCAGGAGUUCCCAUUUUCACUGUCGCACAACAAGACACCAGCAGUCACCCCAGGAAGGGACACGCAGAUGACUGCUUCCAGUUCACGCUAGGCAUAACAUUGCCU
Tympanuchus pallidicinctus (lesser prairie-chicken) is the source of this 2412-nucleotide long non-coding RNA. RefSeq lists it as uncharacterized. The record is from RefSeq and is a predicted model, not a curated record. The transcript is spliced from 3 exons. NCBI's taxonomy places the organism in Eukaryota, Metazoa, Chordata, Aves, Galliformes, Phasianidae.